This 165-nucleotide ribosomal RNA is filed under the name Triticum aestivum (bread wheat). RNAcentral's name for it is "partial small subunit ribosomal RNA". Lineage: Eukaryota; Viridiplantae; Streptophyta; Magnoliopsida; Poales; Poaceae. The record is from RNAcentral.
AUACACAUACAGGUGUAUUCAACUUCAGUCGCAAUGCUUCUGACGGCAAUUGUAUCGGUCUUCUUGUUCGGCUUCAAUCUAUCCCUUGCAUUCUUCCUCGGGUCUGCGGUAGUUUCAAUCUCCGUGUAUCUGCAUUCUGUUGGGAAGCCACAGCAGCAGAAAUGA